RNAcentral lists this ribosomal RNA (301 nucleotides) under uncultured bacterium. RNAcentral's name for it is "partial 16S ribosomal RNA". It matches the Rfam family "Bacterial small subunit ribosomal RNA", at positions 509 to 807 of the family's 1533-position model. The record is from RNAcentral.
CAGCAGCCGCGUUAAUACGUAGGUGGCAAGCGUUGUCCGGAAUUAUUGGGCGUAAAGGGCUCGCAGGCGGUUUCUUAAGUCUGAUGUGAAAGCCCCCGGCUCAACCGGGGAGGGUCAUUGGAAACUGGGAAACUUGAGUGCAGAAGAGGAGAGUGGAAUUCCACGUGUAGCGGUGAAAUGCGUAGAGAUGUGGAGGAACACCAGUGGCGAAGGCGACUCUCUGGUCUGUAACUGACGCUGAGGAGCGAAAGCGUGGGGAGCGAACAGGAUUAGAUACCCCAGUAGUCCCUGUCUCUUAUAC